AUGAUGAAGAUCUGGGGCCACCCUCCAUGCCAUGGCUUUGGAAAUGAUCUUGACGGCCCCAUGCUCAAGGAGGAGGAGAGGAGCAGGGUCCUGGUAAUUGGUGGCACAGGUCACAUCGGCAAGCAUAUCGUUGCUGCGAGUGUCCGCCGCGGCCACCCGACCUCUGUCCUCAUCAGGGAUGCUGCACCGGCUGAUCUGGCCAAGGCGCAGCUCCUCAAGAGCUUCAUUGAUUCCGGUGUCGCUCUCAUCAAGGGAGGUUUAUUUGACCACGGGAGCCUCGUAAAUGCCAUCAAGGGUGCAGAUGUUGUGAUCUCGGCCGUGGGGACCCCUCAGCUCGACGAGCAGACGAGGAUUGUCAUGGCCAUCAAGGAGGCCGGCAAUGUCAUCAGGGUCAGUGAGAUAGAUUAUCAUUUUGUCUUCUUUGUUGAUCAAACGAUGGAUGCAAAUCAAAUCCCAGAGGCGGAUCUCCUCAAGUUGAUCAAGGAGGCGGCAUACCAUCUCAACAUGACGAUGUCCCACUCGCUCUCCGUCUUCGUGAGGGGCGACCAAGCCAACUUCGACAUCGAGGCGUCCUUUGGUGUCGAGGCCACCGAGCUGUACCCUGACGUGAAGUACACCACCGUCGACGAGUACCUGGACCGCCUCCUCUGA
This 651-nucleotide ribosomal RNA is filed under the name Triticum aestivum (bread wheat). RNAcentral's name for it is "partial small subunit ribosomal RNA". The record is from RNAcentral. Lineage: Eukaryota; Viridiplantae; Streptophyta; Magnoliopsida; Poales; Poaceae.